This 30-nucleotide non-coding RNA is filed under the name Rattus norvegicus (Norway rat). The record is from RNAcentral. Lineage: Eukaryota; Metazoa; Chordata; Mammalia; Rodentia; Muridae.
UAAUGACACUUCAUUUUCAAAGCUACAAGC